CCUACGGGUGGCAGCAGUGAGGAAUAUUGGUCAAUGGCCGGAAGGCUGAACCAGCCAUGUCGCGUGAAGGUCAGUGCCCUAUGGGCGUUAAACUUCUUUUGUGCGGGAGCAAUAAUGGUCACGUGUGGCCAGACGAGAGUACCGUACGAAUAAGCAUCGGCUAACUCCGUGCCAGCAGCCGCGGUAAUACGGGGGAUGCAAGCGUUAUCCGGAUUUAUUGGGGUUAAAGGGUGCGUAGGCUGUGAGGUAAGUCAGCGGUGAAAUGCCCCAGCUCAACGGGGUGAAGGGCCAUUGAUACUGCCUUGCUGGAAUGCGGAUGCCGUGGGAGGAAUGUGUGGUGUAGCGGUGAAAUGCAUAGAUAUCACACAGAACACCGAUUGCGAAGGCAUCUCACGAAUCCGCGAUUGACGCUGAUGCACGAAAGCGUGGGUAUCAAACAGGAUUAGAUACCCCUGUAGUC
This 460-nucleotide ribosomal RNA is filed under the name uncultured bacterium. Its description in RNAcentral is "partial 16S ribosomal RNA". It matches the Rfam family "Bacterial small subunit ribosomal RNA", at positions 338 to 795 of the family's 1533-position model. The record is from RNAcentral.